This 320-nucleotide ribosomal RNA is filed under the name uncultured eukaryote. Its description in RNAcentral is "partial 18S ribosomal RNA". It matches the Rfam family "Eukaryotic small subunit ribosomal RNA", at positions 1470 to 1796 of the family's 1831-position model. The record is from RNAcentral.
CCCCUAGAUGUUCUGGGCCGCACGCGCGCUACACUGAACAGUUCAACAAGUCUUAACCUUGGCCGAUAGGUCUGGGUAAUCUUUGAACGCUGUUCGUGAUUGGGAUAGACCUUUGCAAUUAUGGGUCUUCAACGAGGAAUUCCUAGUAAACGCAAGUCAUCAGCUUGCAUUGAUUACGUCCCUGCCCUUUCUACACACCGCCCGUCGCACCUACCGAUUGAAUGGUCCGGUGAAAUCUCGGGACGGCGGCUUGGUCGCUUGCGUCCGACUGCUGAAACUUGAUUAAACCAUAUCAUUUAGAGGAAGGUGAAGUCGUAACA